This 254-nucleotide ribosomal RNA is filed under the name uncultured prokaryote. RNAcentral's name for it is "partial 16S ribosomal RNA". It matches the Rfam family "Bacterial small subunit ribosomal RNA", at positions 522 to 775 of the family's 1533-position model. The record is from RNAcentral.
AAUACGGAGGGUGCAAGCGUUGUCCGGAUUUAUUGGGUUUAAAGGGUGCGUAGGCGGCCUUAUAAGUCAGUGGUGAAAGCCCAUCGCUCAACGGUGGAACUGCCAUUGAUACUGUAAGGCUUGAGUACAGACGAGGUAGGCGGAAUUGAUGGUGUAGCGGUGAAAUGCAUAGAUACCAUCCAGAACACCGAUUGCGUAGGCAGCUUACUAGGCUGUAACUGACGCUGAGGCACGAAAGCGUGGGGAGCGAACAG